AUGGGGGUGGGGAAGAUGGCAGAUGUGGAAGAUGGAAGAUCCCCAUAGAUGUGGGGAGAGGCAGACAUGGGGACAGGGAUGGGACAAACAUGGGGACAACACGGUGGGGAAGCAGGGGACAGCCUUUAGGAUAAAGCCAUGGGGACAGGGGACACACAAGGGGACAGAAAUGGGGACAAAGUCAUGGAUAGGGGUGGGGAAGAUGUGAGGAGAGGUGGACAUGGGGACAGGAUGGGGACAGGGAUGGGGACAAGUGGGGGGCAGGAAUGGGGACAGGAUGGGGACAGGGAUGGGGACAGGGAUGGGGACAAGUGGGGGGCAGGAAUGGGGACAGGGAUGGGGACAGGGAUGGGGACAAGUGGGGGGCAGGAAUGGGGACAGGAUGGGGACAGGGAUGGGACAAACAUGGGGACACACGGUGGGGAAGCAGGGGACAGGCUUUAGGAUAAAGCUAUGGGGACAGGGGGCACACAAGGGGACAGGGAUGGGGACGAAAGUCGAGGCUCAGACUGGGAGGGUGUGUCCGAUAAGCCCCGCCCCCUCUCUCCCCAUUGGCUGCCGGCGGCUGUCACUCAACCUCGCCCCCUUUAAAAGCGGAGUCGGAGCGGAGCGGCGCAGAGCGGCGGAUGGCGAUGAGUGCGCGCAGUCCCGAUGCAUCCCCGCGUCCUACGGAGGCAGCCGAAGGGCAGCAGGAAGCCAAAGCUGCCGACCCCAAAAGAACAGAGGAGGAGGAGGAGCUGAUCGACAUCGAUCUGAACGCACCCGAAACGGAGCGGGCGGCUCUCGCCAUCCAGGGGAAAUUCCGACGUUUCCAGAAACGCAAAAAGGAAUCGGGACCCUAAAGACCCCCCCCCCCCCCCCCCCCCCCCCCUCCUACCCAUCAGCCCCCCGACCCCAUUAUUUGCAUAGGGACCACAGCCCCAUCCUGCUCCCCGACCUCAUUAUGGGGGCUCAGCUCACUUAUGGGAUCAAUGUAAAGUGUUCAGCCCUAACCUGUAAGCCCCCUUAAUUUGGGGGGGGGUGUCCCCAAAUGUCCCCUAUCCCUGCUGUAAUGGGGGGGGCACCUCUCCAUCCCCCGGGGUGACCCCAUUUAUCCCCCCCUUAAUAGUGAUGCUGAUGUUGGGGGGGGUUAUGGGAUGGUGUCCCCCAAAUGAGGGACCCCCCCUCCCAUAUCCUUUUAAAGGGGCAGGGGGUGAUGAAGGUGAACCUAUAUUCCCUAUAUUUCCCCCCUCCCCCACUUUGCUUUUUGGGGGGUGAGCACUGGAAUAAAGCAGUAGGAGAAGAGAACUGGUGUGGUCUG
RNAcentral lists this long non-coding RNA (1300 nucleotides) under Phasianus colchicus (ring-necked pheasant). RNAcentral's name for it is "lncRNA (ENSPCLG00000019730.1)". Lineage: Eukaryota; Metazoa; Chordata; Aves; Galliformes; Phasianidae. The record is from RNAcentral.